UCUUUCACCACCUGGAAGCAACACCCACCUAGUGAAACAAUUGAGACAGAGGAUCAAAGAAUUAGAACGUUAUAGUGAAGGCACCAAAGACAAAGAUCUACCCAAGAGGUAUAAUCACUGCUCAACCUUUUUCUCUCAAGUACUUUUAUUGAAACAGAAAUUCACUCAAAAGAAUAAAUCUCAAGCCUUUAAAAAAAAGUUUGUCAGUGUCACAGUAGUCUAGACCCAACUGCAUUAAAACUCUACAAAACCUGUAAAUAAAUUGCAGCGCGCGAAGUAAAAUGAAGGCCAUGGAAUUAACCUUGCUCAAGGCCAACCGAGUCUACCAAAACUGUGUGGACAUUUCCAGAAAGCUCCGAGCCAUGACUUACACAGCUGAGGAACAAGUUCGAGCGCAUAAAGAUGAAGCAUCCUAUCUUGUAAGGCUUGCAGCAAGAAGUACACCAAAAGGAUAUCAUUGUCUUUCACUCCGCCUAACAGCAGAGUUCUUUGCUAUGUCCCCAGAUGAGAGACAGUUCCCUAAUCAACAUAGAUUACAUGAUCCUCAUCUCCACCACUAUGCUCUUUUCUCUGACAAUAUUCUGGCUUGUGCAGUAGUCGUCAAUUCUACAGUAUCUUCUGCUCAGGUAAAGAAGCUCAAGUCAGUCAUAACUUAGAACUUCAGCACUGAUUCUUGACUAAUUUUUGACAAUGUUUAACUGCUGAUCAUCAGGAGGAAGAAAAGGUAGUGUUUCAUGUGGUGACUAAUGCUCUAAAUCUCCCGGCAAUAUCAAUGUGGUUCUUGCUAUAUCCUCCCGGGAAGGCUACGAUAUAUGUCGAGAGCAUUGAAAAAUUUGAGGGGCUGACUGCAAACUACGAUUGGAUAUUGAAGAAGCAAAAUUCGAGUGAACCGAGAUACACAUCAGACUUGAACCAUCUUCGUUUCUAUCUACCAGAUGUGUUCCCUAAGUUGAAAAAGAUUGUGCUUUUGGACCAUGAUGUUGUGGUGAGGAGAGACCUAGCAGGACUUUGGGGUUUGGAUUUGAAAGGGAAGGUCAAUGGAGCGGUAGAAACUUGCCAUGAUGAGAAUGAUCCUUCUUUUCGUCGCAUGGAUAUGCUCAUCAACUUCUCAGAUCCUUAUGUUGCAAGGAAAUUUAACCCCGGAGCCUGCACCUGGGCAUUUGGAAUGAAUUUGUUUGAUCUCAAAGAGUGGAGGAGACGAGCUUUAACUUCCCUCUACCACAAAUACUUGCGAAUGGUAUGUUUACGAUUUACAUUGUGUUGGCAUCAUGCAUACUUACGUUUUUUAUGAACUAAGCCGUGCCAAGCCGAACUUAACAAUGCUCAAGCUUUGCUGGUUUAGGUAAACUUAAGUUCAAAAAUUUUAGCUCGUGUCGAGCUUGAGCCUAUUUGAGACUGGCUCGUUAACUACCCUUGAUGACUGAAACUCAAGUUCAAAGUCAAACUUUACUCAUUAAAACCCCUCAUGAGUCUAAUCUGACCUAAAUUUCAAGCCUAUGCACUAAAAACAUCGACGAGUGAAGCUAAAAAAAGAAGAUAUCCAAAAAAUUUCAACUUUCUACAUUUUUUAAAAUAGUUAAAACCUAUAAAUAAUAUAGCACGUGCAUUUUCAUUAUCACAAUCACAAAUUACACAUGAUUUAUUGUAUAUAGUAUUUAAACACUUGUUACAUUAUUGAGUCUACUAACCAACCUUAUACUCGAGCUACUAUUCGAGUUGACUCUCGAGCCAGUUCGUGAGGCUAUCGCGUGGAGCAUACCCUAACGCAAGUUUGGUUCAUUCAAAAUCGAGCCGAGUCACGAACUAGUUUUUUUCGAGCCGAGAUCUGAGCGGCUUGGCUUGUUGAGUCAACAACCCUAGUAUGUGAUGUGAGAUGUUUGUAUGCUAAUGCUGGGAUGGAACUGAAAUGGAUUUGCAGGGGAGUAAAAGAAGACUAUGGAAAUCAGGGAGCUUGCCUCUGGGUUGGGCAACUUUCUACAACAGGACGAUAGGGAUAGAUAGGAGAUGGCAUCGGCUUCUGGCGCUAGGAUACGAGUCAGAAGGUGUCGACGAUGACGAUAAUGUUGAAGAUGAUGGGAUUGAGGAGGCAGCGGUGUUACACUACGAUGGAGUGAUGAAACCAUGGCUGGAUAUCGGGAUAUCAAAGUACAGAAGCUACUGGACUGCAUUCCUUAAUUACGACAACCCCCAUUUUCAGCAGUGCAAUAUCCAUGAAUGAAGAGUGGGUCUUCUAUCAAAUGGCUUCAUGUAAAUAUAACACUACUGGGUUUUCUAUUUCAUCAUACAAAGGGCGUGAGGGAGAGGUAUAGAUUUGGGAUGGAUCCUGGCAUAUAACAGUUUUGUCUAGGAGGUUUAUACUACAUGGUAAGAUAUAGUAUCAGCAGGAAUGGGAUACUGAAGAAAAGAGAGUUUAUACUUUAUAUACAUAGGAGGGGUGAGAUACAGAGAAAGUUUAAAGUUUGAACAUGAAACUUUGAUUGGAACUUGGGAGGAUUGUAUGUACAUAGUUGAUGGAGCAUCUUAUGUCAAACUACAUAAACUUCAAUUUUUACAUACGAAUUAUUGUUCAGUAUCAAGAGGAAAAAGGGGUCGAGAUUCUCCUUACCUCUCUUGUUUCCACCCGCAAUAUCCUCUUAACCUUUUCUUUAUCCAUUUCUCGAGUCUUCGUAAAGAGUCAUUCUGCUAGAUCUUCUUCAGAGACAUCGGUCCAUCAUUGGAGUUUUGUGGGACAAUGGACGGAAAUUGCUAAAAAAGGAUUUACUGAAAAAGUCUGAAAACC
This 2779-nucleotide long non-coding RNA is filed under the name Linum usitatissimum (flax). Its description in RNAcentral is "long non-coding RNA (LUSI_LNC007070)". The record is from RNAcentral. Lineage: Eukaryota; Viridiplantae; Streptophyta; Magnoliopsida; Malpighiales; Linaceae.